GAUGAACGCUAGCUACAGGCUUAACACAUGCAAGUCGAGGGGCAUCAGGAAGAAAGCUUGCUUUCUUUGCUGGCGACCGGCGCACGGGUGAGUAACACGUAUCCAACCUGCCCUUUACUCGGGGAUAGCCUUUCGAAAGAAAGAUUAAUACCCGAUAGCAUAAUGAUUCCGCAUGGUUUCAUUAUUAAAGGAUUCCGGUAAAGGAUGGGGAUGCGUUCCAUUAGGUUGUUGGUGAGGUAACGGCCCACCAAGCCUUCGAUGGAUAGGGGUUCUGAGAGGAAGGUCCCCCACAUUGGAACUGAGACACGGUCCAAACUCCUACGGGAGGCAGCAGUGAGGAAUAUUGGUCAAUGGGCGCUAGCCUGAACCAGCCAAGUAGCGUGAAGGAUGAAGGCUCUAUGGGUCGUAAACUUCUUUUAUAUAAGAAUAAAGUGCAGUAUGUAUACUGUUUUGUAUGUAUUAUAUGAAUAAGGAUCGGCUAACUCCGUGCCAGCAGCCGCGGUAAUACGGAGGAUCCGAGCGUUAUCCGGAUUUAUUGGGUUUAAAGGGAGCGUAGGUGGACUGGUAAGUCAGUUGUGAAAGUUUGCGGCUCAACCGUAAAAUUGCAGUUGAUACUGUCAGUCUUGAGUACAGUAGAGGUGGGCGGAAUUCGUGGUGUAGCGGUGAAAUGCUUAGAUAUCACGAAGAACUCCGAUUGCGAAGGCAGCUCACUGGACUGCAACUGACACUGAUGCUCGAAAGUGUGGGGUAUCAAACAGGAUUAGAUACCCUGGUAGUCCACACAGUAAACGAUGAAUACUCGCUGUUUGCGAUAUACAGUAAGCGGCCAAGCGAAAGCAUUAAGUAUUCCACCUGGGGAGUACGCCGGCAACGGUGAAACUCAAAGGAAUUGACGGGGGCCCGCACAAGCGGAGGAACAUGUGGUUUAAUUCGAUGAUACGCGAGGAACCUUACCCGGGCUUAAAUUGCAGUGGAAUGAUGUGGAAACAUGUCAGUGAGCAAUCACCGCUGUGAAGGUGCUGCAUGGUUGUCGUCAGCUCGUGCCGUGAGGUGUCGGCUUAAGUGCCAUAACGAGCGCAACCCUUAUCUUUAGUUACUAACAGGUUAUGCUGAGGACUCUAGAGAGACUGCCGUCGUAAGAUGUGAGGAAGGUGGGGAUGACGUCAAAUCAGCACGGCCCUUACGUCCGGGGCUACACACGUGUUACAAUGGGGGGGUACAGAAGGCAGCUAGCGGGUGACCGUAUGCUAAUCCCAAAAUCCUCUCUCAGUUCGGAUCGAAGUCUGCAACCCGACUUCGUGAAGCUGGAUUCGCUAGUAAUCGCGCAUCAGCCACGGCGCGGUGAAUACGUUCCCGGGCCUUGUACACACCGCCCGUCAAGCCAUGGGAGCCGGGGGUACAUGAAGUACGUAACCGCAAGGAUCGUCCUAGGGUA
RNAcentral lists this ribosomal RNA (1435 nucleotides) under uncultured organism. Its description in RNAcentral is "16S ribosomal RNA". It matches the Rfam family "Bacterial small subunit ribosomal RNA". The record is from RNAcentral.